CGGCAGGCUUAACACAUGCAAGUCGAGCGGGGGAAGGUAGCUUGCUACCGGACCUAGCGGCGGACGGGUGAGUAAUGCUUAGGAAUCUGCCUAUUAGUGGGGGACAACAUCUCGAAAGGGAUGCUAAUACCGCAUACGUCCUACGGGAGAAAGCAGGGGAUCUUCGGACCUUGCGCUAAUAGAUGAGCCUAAGUCGGAUUAGCUAGUUGGUGGGGUAAAGGCCUACCAAGGCGACGAUCUGUAGCGGGUCUGAGAGGAUGAUCCGCCACACUGGGACUGAGACACGGCCCAGACUCCUACGGGAGGCAGCAGUGGGGAAUAUUGGACAAUGGGGGGAACCCUGAUCC
This 347-nucleotide ribosomal RNA is filed under the name Acinetobacter baumannii OIFC143. RNAcentral's name for it is "bacterial SSU rRNA". It matches the Rfam family "Bacterial small subunit ribosomal RNA", at positions 40 to 389 of the family's 1533-position model. The record is from RNAcentral. Lineage: Bacteria; Pseudomonadati; Pseudomonadota; Gammaproteobacteria; Moraxellales; Moraxellaceae.